RNAcentral lists this transfer RNA (55 nucleotides) under Lophozia ventricosa. RNAcentral's name for it is "partial tRNA-Leu". The record is from RNAcentral. Lineage: Eukaryota; Viridiplantae; Streptophyta; Jungermanniopsida; Jungermanniales; Lophoziaceae.
GCAUUAAAAUCCGUUGGCUUUUUAGACCGUGAGGGUUCAAGUCCCUCUACCCCCA